This 503-nucleotide ribosomal RNA is filed under the name Hypostomus ancistroides. RNAcentral's name for it is "partial 16S ribosomal RNA". It matches the Rfam family "Bacterial large subunit ribosomal RNA", at positions 1853 to 2562 of the family's 2925-position model. The record is from RNAcentral. Lineage: Eukaryota; Metazoa; Chordata; Actinopteri; Siluriformes; Loricariidae.
UUUUUCCUGCCCGGUGACUAUAAGUUAAACGGCCGCGGUAUUUUGACCGUGCAAAGGUAGCGCAAUCACUUUUCUUUUAAAUGAAGACCUGUAUGAAUGGUGGAACGAGGGCUUAACUGUCUCCCCCUUCUAGUCAAUGAAAUUGAUCUACCCGUGCAGAAGCGGGUAUAAUAAUGCAAGACGAGAAGACCCUUUGGAGCUUAAGAUAAAAAACCAACUAUGUCAAAAGUCCUAAAAAAGACUAAACCAAAUAGUACUGGUCCUAAUCUUCGGUUGGGGUGACCACGGGAGAAAACAAAGCUCCCAUGCGGAUUGGGAUAAUUCCCUAAAACUAAGAGAGACAUCUCUAAGACGCAGAACAUCUGACCAUAAAGAUCCGGCUACAUGCCGACCAACGGACCAAGUUACCCUAGGGAUAACAGCGCAAUCCCCUUCCAGAGUCCAUAUCGACAAGGGGGUUUACGACCUCGAUGUUUGAUCAGGACAUCCUAAUGGUGCAGCCC